AGCGAACGCUGGCGGCAGGCCUAACACAUGCAAGUCGAACGAACUCUUCGGAGUUAGUGGCGGACGGGUGAGUAACACGUGGGAACGUGCCCUUUGGUACGGAAUAACUCAGGGAAACUUGAGCUAAUACCGUAUGUGCCCUUCGGGGGAAAGAUUUAUCGCCAUUGGAGCGGCCCGCGUCUGAUUAGCUAGUUGGUGAGGUAAAGGCUCACCAAGGCUACGAUCAGUAGCUGGUCUGAGAGGAUGAUCAGCCACAUUGGGACUGAGACACGGCCCAAACUCCUACGGGAGGCAGCAGUGGGGAAUCUUGCGCAAUGGGCGAAAGCCUGACGCAGCCAUGCCGCGUGAAUGAUGAAGGUCUUAGGAUUGUAAAAUUCUUUCACCGGGGACGAUAAUGACGGUACCCGGAGAAGAAGCCCCGGCUAACUUCG
Molecule: ribosomal RNA, 431 nt
Filed under: uncultured bacterium
Lineage: Bacteria
Description: partial 16S ribosomal RNA
Rfam family: Bacterial small subunit ribosomal RNA
Source: RNAcentral